Molecule: long non-coding RNA, 1007 nt
Organism: Syngnathus typhle (broad-nosed pipefish)
Lineage: Eukaryota; Metazoa; Chordata; Actinopteri; Syngnathiformes; Syngnathidae
Exons: 3
Source: RefSeq, a predicted model, not a curated record
CAAACUGAGGAACGUAAAAUUUGACAGACGGUUGGACCUCCAAUUCUUUGAAUCCAAAGUGACAUUCAACAUGGCGCCGUAAUGAAAAGCUCGUUUGCUAAAUUUAACCAGCAAAUGGAUUGAGUUUGGAAAAUUCUGUGAUGUCAUCACCACCACAUACUUUGCAGAUAAACCGUGUGUGUGUGUGUGAGGGGCGCCACCGAGAGCCUUCCAAAUCUAAGCUUCCCGGGAAAGCGUUUGCUCGCCGCCUCACUCCAUCAUCGAGCGUCUCACAUGAGCUGGCGCGCCGCCGCCGCCUCCUCUCGCUGCCUUUAGAAUGGGGCCUGGCCACACCACACAGCGCCCCCUUGUGGUUGAAAUGGACGUGACGCGCGCUGAUCUAGCCAUAUAAGCUUCCAGCCUCCCCUUCAAGGAUGAUGGCACCGUCUCGGAAUAGCCCUGCCUCGGAGCCGCAUUCUUGUAAUGUAUGGAAAGAGUCACGUUACGCACACGCCAGCGUACGUUAACGCGCCCGCCGUGGUGUAAAACUGGACCGCGGGAAGCUCGUCGUUGGACAGCGGCAAGAGGAGAUGGCGGAAAGAGUGCAACGCUGCCCCCUGCUGCUUGUUUUCAACGGCUUAACCCUUAGCCCUAUUUGGCCAGCCGCUGAUUUGAAACCAAAUGUUCUAUCCAUUUGAACUUUUGACCUGUUUUAUCUUGUCGGUGACAAACGCGGGCAGCUUGGUUCGCAGCUGCUCCGUUUCCUUGAAGGUGGGCGGGAAGCCGCUGAGGUAGGCCAGCGUCUGCAUGCGAAUCAGACCCGGAGCCUCUUUAUCCGUGGUCUGCGGAAAACAGGACGUGGUGACGGAAAUGCGACUUCCUCGAAAAGCUCAGACCCACCGUCUGCCUGGGAAUUGAAGACCAGCACGGAGGCGGCGGUGGACGGGUGAACGGGCCUGCGGAGCUGCAGCAGCUCCUUGGCGGCCGCCAGCGCCGGCGAGAGCGCCGGCAACUCCCGUAGCGUGCCG